This is an unclassified non-coding RNA of Macaca mulatta (Rhesus monkey), 148 nucleotides long. It matches the Rfam family "Metazoan signal recognition particle RNA". From Rfam's summary of the family: The signal recognition particle (SRP) is a universally conserved ribonucleoprotein. It is involved in the co-translational targeting of proteins to membranes. The eukaryotic SRP consists of a 300-nucleotide 7S RNA and six proteins: SRPs 72, 68, 54, 19, 14, and 9. NCBI's taxonomy places the organism in Eukaryota, Metazoa, Chordata, Mammalia, Primates, Cercopithecidae. The record is from Ensembl.
GCCGGGUGUGGUGGCGCACACCUGUAGUCCCAGCUACUCAGGAGGCUGAGGUAGGAGAAUCACUUGAACCCAGGAAGUGGAGGUUGCAGUAAGACAAGAUCAUGCUAUUGCACUACAGCCUGGGUGACAGAGUGGGACCCUGUCUCUA